This 369-nucleotide long non-coding RNA is filed under the name Ananas comosus (pineapple). RNAcentral describes it as "long non-coding RNA (ACOM_LNC030018)". Lineage: Eukaryota; Viridiplantae; Streptophyta; Magnoliopsida; Poales; Bromeliaceae. The record is from RNAcentral.
ACAUGAACAGGUGGAGGUUCCGGAGCAGCAGGUGCAAAUCGGUGGUGUGCAUAUGGAUCAACUACAACCGGAGGAGGUUGAUGUGCGUAUGGAUCCGCUACAAGAGGGGGAGGUUGAUGUGCAUAUGGAUCAGCUGGAAGAGGGAGAGGUUGAUGUGCGUAUGGAUCAGCUACACGAAAAGGAGGUUGAUGUGCGUAUGGAUCAGCUACACGAAAAGGAGGUUGAUGUGCAUAUGGGUCAGGUGCACGAGGGAGAGGCUGAUACACAUAUUGGGGCUCGACUUGAGGUGGAGCUUGUAACACCUGUCCGCAUCUAUACGGAUCCUCGGGAGGCGGCAAAUGAACAACAGGAGGUGGGGGAAGCCUCUCA